AACACAGCAACUUUGAAACGUCCUUGGCCUGAUGAGAAAGUGAUUUCUGAGCAGACAUGUGGAGCUGUGCUUUGAAUUUGGGGAAAAGCACAGGUGAAUACGGGGCUGUUUCCAGGACAAGGGGCAGUGAAUUUGCAAAGGAGUCAGGGUAAGAAAAUAUCCCUCAUCUCUUCGUAGAGACUCAGCGGCCAGAGCUGAAGCAUUCAGAGCAGGAAUAACAUAACUGCUAAAGACUGAAAAAGGCUUUAGAGAAGCGAUCUCCUCUCUACCAUGAAAGAUAUCCAUACAUUGUGUACCAGACAGGCAUCAAGCCCUGGGCUGUUGGUGCCUUGCCCUUAAACUCCCAGACGCCCCUACUCCCAACUUUGAGGAACACAUUUCUGUUGUUCAAACGACUCCUCUAUGUAU
Molecule: long non-coding RNA, 408 nt
Organism: Dipodomys ordii (Ord's kangaroo rat)
Lineage: Eukaryota; Metazoa; Chordata; Mammalia; Rodentia; Heteromyidae
Exons: 3
Source: RefSeq, a predicted model, not a curated record